GCGAAAGCGAGUUUUAACUGAGCGUUCAGUUACUUGACGUAGACCCGAAACCGGGCGACCUACCCAUGAGCAGGAUGAAGCGAAAGUAAAAUUUCGUGGAGGUCCGAACCCACGAGCGUUGAAAAGCUCGGGGAUGACUUGUGGGUAGCGGUGAAAUUCCAAUCGAGCCCGGAGAUAGCUGGUUCUCCCCGAAAUAGCUUUAGGGCUAGCCUCAAGGUGAGAGAUACGGAGGUAGAGCACUGAAUGUCCUAGGGGGUAUUGCACCUACCGAAGACUAUCAAACUCCGAAUGCCGUCAUCUUAUACUUGGGAGUCAGACUGUGGGUGAUAAGAUUCAUAGUCGAAAGGGCAACAGCCCAGAUCGUCAGCUAAGGUCCCUAAAUGUAAGUUAAGUGGUAAAGGAUGUGGGAUUGCACAGACAACCAGGAUGUUGGCUUAGAAGCAGCCACUCAUUCAAAGAGUGCGUAAUAGCUCACUGGUCGAGUGAUCCUGCGCCGAAGAUUUCCGGGGCUAAAACUUACUACCGAAGCUACGGCAUCAGUAAUGAUGGGUAGGGGAGCUUCCCAUACGGGUUGAAGCAUGACCGUAAGGACAUGUGGACAGUAUGGGAGUGAGAAUGUUGGCAUGAGUAGCGAGAUGUGGGUGAGAAUCCCACAGGCCGUAAACCCAAGGUUUCCAGGGGAAGGUUCGUCCGCCCUGGGUUAGUCGGGACCUAAGCUGAGGCCGAAAGGCGUAGGUGAUGGACAACAGGUUGAUAUUCCUGUACUACCGAUAACCGUUUGAGAGAAGGGAUGACACAGUAGGAUAAGCUAAGCACACUGUUGGUUAUGUGUGCCCAAGCAUUGAGGCAGUCAAAGUAGGCAAAUCCGCUUUGAUAAUGCUGGGAUGUGAUGGGGAGCGAAAUUUAGUAGCGAAGUAGCUGAUUUCACACUGUCAAGAAAAGUCUCUAUCGAGGUUAAAGGUACCCGUACCGCAAACCGACACAGGUGGGUGAGGAGAGUAUCCUAAGGCCAGCGAGAGAACUGUUGUUAAGGAACUCGGCAAAAUGACCCCGUAACUUAGGGAUAAGGGGUGCCACCAUUAGGUGGCCGCAGAGAAUAGGCCCAAGCGACUGUUUACCAAAAACAUAGGUUUCUGCUAAGUCGCAAGACGAUGUAUAGGAGCUGACGCCUGCCCGGUGCUGGAAGGUUAAGGGGAUCUGUUAGAG
RNAcentral lists this ribosomal RNA (1206 nucleotides) under Clostridioides difficile. RNAcentral's name for it is "partial 23S ribosomal RNA". It matches the Rfam family "Bacterial large subunit ribosomal RNA", at positions 671 to 1895 of the family's 2925-position model. Lineage: Bacteria; Bacillati; Bacillota; Clostridia; Peptostreptococcales; Peptostreptococcaceae. The record is from RNAcentral.